CCCUGGAAACGGGGUCUAAUACCGGAUACUGAUCGCCUUGGGCAUCCUUGGUGAUCGAAAGCUCCGGCGGUGCAGGAUGAGCCCGCGGCCUAUCAGCUUGUUGGUGAGGUAAUGGCUCACCAAGGCGACGACGGGUAGCCGGCCUGAGAGGGCGACCGGCCACACUGGGACUGAGACACGGCCCAGACUCCUACGGGAGGCAGCAGUGGGGAAUAUUGCACAAUGGGCGAAAGCCUGAUGCAGCGACGCCGCGUGAGGGAUGACGGCCUUCGGGUUGUAAACCUCUUUCAGCAGGGAAGAAGCGAAAGUGACGGUACCUGCAGAAGAAGCGCCGGCUAACUACGUGCCAGCAGCCGCGGUAAUACGUAGGGCGCGAGCGUUGUCCGGAAUUAUUGGGCGUAAAGAGCUCGUAGGCGGCUUGUCGCGUCGGUUGUGAAAGCCCGGGGCUUAACCCCGGGUCUGCAGUCGAAUAACGGGCAGGCUAGAAGUUCGGUAGGGG
RNAcentral lists this ribosomal RNA (499 nucleotides) under Streptomyces aureus. RNAcentral's name for it is "bacterial SSU rRNA". It matches the Rfam family "Bacterial small subunit ribosomal RNA", at positions 148 to 658 of the family's 1533-position model. Lineage: Bacteria; Bacillati; Actinomycetota; Actinomycetes; Kitasatosporales; Streptomycetaceae. The record is from RNAcentral.